CUUCACUGCAGGCUGGCAUUGGGUUCGGGCUUUUCUUGCGCAGUCUAGGUGGGAGGCUUUGAAGUUUCCUUCCGGGGAGCUGGAGCCAUCAGUGAGAGACCACUCUGGAAAGGUAGAAUCCUAAUGGUAUCCUUGAAUCAGGACACUUGACAUUCAGCUAGACAGUUUUUCUGGGCGGAAGUCCUAAAAGUAACGGAGCUGUGCAAAGGUUCCCUCAGUCUUGGACGGAAUCAGACGUGGAGUGUAAGGCAAAAGGGAGCUUGACUGCAAGAACCUAAAGUCGAGCAGGAGCGAAAGCUGGC
This 302-nucleotide ribosomal RNA is filed under the name uncultured alga. RNAcentral describes it as "bacterial LSU rRNA". It matches the Rfam family "Bacterial large subunit ribosomal RNA", at positions 2099 to 2410 of the family's 2925-position model. The record is from RNAcentral.